CGGAGAAAGCAUGGUUCAUCUGCGCCUCUGCCCCAAACAUCCCAAUUAUCGCUGAUGCUGAUACUGGUGGAGGUAAUGCUCUCAACGUGCAAAGGACCGUGCAGGACUUGAUUGCAGCAGGUGCUGCUGGAUGCUUUCUUGAGGAUCAAGCAUGGCCAAAGAAGUGAGGU
Long non-coding RNA from Nymphaea colorata (pocket water lily), 170 nucleotides. RefSeq lists it as uncharacterized. The transcript has 3 exons. The record is from RefSeq and is a predicted model, not a curated record. Lineage: Eukaryota; Viridiplantae; Streptophyta; Magnoliopsida; Nymphaeales; Nymphaeaceae.